CUACGGGAGGCAGCAGUGGGGAAUAUUGCACAAUGGGGGAAACCCUGAUGCAGCGACGCCGCGUGAGUGAAGAAGUAUUUCGGUAUGUAAAGCUCUAUCAGCAGGAAAGAAAAUGACGGUACCUGACUAAGAAGCCCCGGCUAACUACGUGCCAGCAGCCGCGGUAAU
RNAcentral lists this ribosomal RNA (168 nucleotides) under uncultured bacterium. Its description in RNAcentral is "partial 16S ribosomal RNA". It matches the Rfam family "Bacterial small subunit ribosomal RNA", at positions 339 to 524 of the family's 1533-position model. The record is from RNAcentral.